Molecule: signal recognition particle RNA, 288 nt
Filed under: Phascolarctos cinereus (koala)
Lineage: Eukaryota; Metazoa; Chordata; Mammalia; Diprotodontia; Phascolarctidae
Description: Metazoan signal recognition particle RNA (ENSPCIG00000008192.2)
Rfam family: Metazoan signal recognition particle RNA
About the family: The signal recognition particle (SRP) is a universally conserved ribonucleoprotein. It is involved in the co-translational targeting of proteins to membranes.
Source: RNAcentral
GCUAGGCAUGUGGGGCACACCUGUAGUCAUAGCUCAUGGGGAGGUUUAAGCUGGUGGAUCUCUUGAGCUUGGGAGCUCUGAGCUGCAGGAGGUUAUGUCCUCAUUAAGUCUAGCAUCAAUAGGGUGCGCCUCCAAGAGUGGGGGGCCAUCUAAUUGCUUAAAGAGGGAUGAAUCAGCUCAGUUAGAAACAGAACAGGUCGAAGUUCCCAUGUCAAUCAGUAGUAGGAUCUCGUCCACAAGUAAGGCCCAAUACUUUCAGCCUGGGUGAGGUAGGGUGACCUAAUUUUU